UUUCUUUACUUGGCCAUUUUAGAGAAUGCAGAAUAACAGGGAUUUUAUUUAAUUUGAUGUUUGACAUUCGAGUCUUUCUGUGUUCACUAUCAUUUAGCUGAGUCUAAAUUUAGUGUUGAAAGGAGUUAAGACACUGCCAUUCUCAACCAGGAAAGACUUUCAGUGGCUACAUGACCACUGUGUCCUGCAUUCCUAUUACUUUUUUUCCUCUUUGUUUGCUUGCUUAGUGGUUUGAGAAAGGUCUCACUGCAUAGCCCUGGCUGUCCUGGAACUCACUAUGUAGACCAAGCUGGCCUCAGACUCAUAGAGAUCUAUCUGCCUCAGCCUCCUUUCUACUGGCAUUAAAGGUACCACCAAGCCUGACUGUGUUCCUAUUUCUUAAGUAAGUAUCUGAUACCUAAGAGAACAUACUAAGCUGAAAACCUCCUAGUCUGUGGACCCCUUCUGUGUAGAAAUAGAAAAAGUAGGCAGUUCCUGAUGAAUGAAGGGUCAACUGGCUUCUGUACUCACUGAUUUAAACUGGACCUGGAGUUUGCAAUAAUCACCAUGGGGAGGCAUUGUCCUUUAUGACCUCAGUUCUUUUGGAUUCACAAGCAAAAAAUUACACUGCUUUAAAUAAUUUGCUCGUUUGGUAGUGUUAUACUUCUGAUAGCCAAAAAUUAUUUUUGGAAUGCAUGUUUUCUUUUUUUAAAGAUACACAUUUGGCUAUAAUCUUGUAUAUACAGCCUCAAAUAUAACAUUCAGCAAGUUAACAUUUAGAUUUCUUUUUAGACUCAAACACAUCAACAAAUAUAGGAUUCUUGAAAUCUUUUAAUACUUCUUUUGGGUGUACUUAUCUGUUCUAAACUUGGGCAUUCUGAAUUCAGUAUGGAUAUUAAUAAAACAUGUAUAAACUUUGUUUCUC
Molecule: long non-coding RNA, 904 nt
Filed under: Mus musculus (house mouse)
Lineage: Eukaryota; Metazoa; Chordata; Mammalia; Rodentia; Muridae
Description: long non-coding RNA chr4:43168762-43169666
Source: RNAcentral